This 100-nucleotide non-coding RNA is filed under the name uncultured Blautia sp. RNAcentral describes it as "THF riboswitch". It matches the Rfam family "THF (Tetrahydrofolate) riboswitch aptamer". Rfam says of the family: THF riboswitch presents a pseudoknot that joins P1-P2 and the loop of P3 and two THF binding. The record is from RNAcentral. Lineage: Bacteria; Bacillati; Bacillota; Clostridia; Lachnospirales; Lachnospiraceae.
CGAAGUAGGAAUUUAUGCGUUAAGUGUUCAUUGGCUGGGGAGUCGCCGUGAAACGAAAAGCAUGCAAAGGCUGCUUACGAUAUAUUUUCCGCACCCGUUG